GGCCAAAUGCUAUAGCCUACGGUUUUGGGGGUUGGCCCAUGGUUCGGGUGUGUCGUGGGUCAAAAAUUGAUUGGGGCAUUUCAGAGAGGUUGGGGAUUAUCCCAGUGUGGUCCUUUGGGUGGUCGGGGCCAUUUGGGUGGUCAAACAGGUAAAUCGGUGCAAAUGAGGCAUUUUUAGGCCAAAUCAGUGUGCAAUAGCCCACAGUUUCAGGGGUUAGGGCGUGAUAUUAGCCGAAAAUUGAUUGGGGCAUGAUUGGGUGAAUGAGGAUCAUUCCUGUGUGGUUCUUUUGGGUGGGCGAGGCUAUUUGGGGGGUAAAAUGGACGAAAUGAUACAAAUGGGGCAUUUUCAGGUUAAAUCGGUGUUCUAUAGCCCACGGUUUUGAGGGUGCGCCGGGUGUUCGGGCGUGUUGUGGGUUAAAAAUUAAUUGAGGAAUGUCAGGGAGGCUGGAGAUCAUCCAAGUAUGGUGGGUUUAGG
RNAcentral lists this long non-coding RNA (474 nucleotides) under Capsicum annuum. RNAcentral's name for it is "long non-coding RNA (CANN_LNC012206)". Lineage: Eukaryota; Viridiplantae; Streptophyta; Magnoliopsida; Solanales; Solanaceae. The record is from RNAcentral.